GAGAGAGGCUAAAGUAGAGAGGAGAGAGGAAAGAGGCUAAAGUAGAGAGGAGAGAGGCUAAAGGAGAGAGGAUAGAGGAGAGAGGCUAAAGUAGAGAGGAGAUAGGAAAGAGGCUAAAGUAGAGAGGAGAGAUGCUAAAGGAGAGAGGAGAGAGGCUAAAGUAGAGAGGAGAGAGGAGAGAGGCUAAAGUAGAGAGGAGAGAGGAAAGAGGCUAAAGUAGAGAGGAGAGAGGCUAAAGGAGAGAGGAGAGAGGAGAGAGGCUAAAGUAGAGAGGAGAGAGGAGAGAGGCUAAAGUAGAGAGGAGAGAGGCUAAAGGAGAGAGGAGAGAGGCUAAAGGAGAGAGGAGAGAUGCUAAAGUAGAGAGGAGAGAGGAGAGAGGCUAAAGUAGAGAGGAGAGAGGCUAAAGUAGAGAGAAGAGAUGCUAAAGUAGAGAGGAGAGAGGAGAGAGGAGAGAG
RNAcentral lists this long non-coding RNA (455 nucleotides) under Salmo salar (Atlantic salmon). RNAcentral's name for it is "lncRNA (ENSSSAG00000117754.1)". Lineage: Eukaryota; Metazoa; Chordata; Actinopteri; Salmoniformes; Salmonidae. The record is from RNAcentral.